UUUCCGUAGGUGAACCUGCGGAAGGAUCAUUAUUGUAUAACCGAGGUUCGAGGUCUGGCGCUGACCCGAAUGGUUGUGCACGCCCGAUUUCUCUCACACUCAUCCAUUUCACGCCUAUGUGCACCACCGCGCGGUUCUCCCUUUGGCUUGUCUUGAGGCGGGCUAACGUUAUGACACAAUUUUUGUUUUCAACGUUGAAUGUAUUUUUUGUUUUUGCUUUCACGACGUCACUAUAACUUUCAACAACGGAUCACUACGCUCCCGCAUCGAUGAAGAACC
Molecule: unclassified non-coding RNA, 279 nt
Filed under: plant metagenome
Description: partial contains small subunit ribosomal RNA, internal transcribed spacer 1, and 5.8S ribosomal RNA
Source: RNAcentral